This 205-nucleotide unclassified non-coding RNA is filed under the name uncultured Agaricaceae. RNAcentral's name for it is "sequence contains ITS2". The record is from RNAcentral. Lineage: Eukaryota; Fungi; Basidiomycota; Agaricomycetes; Agaricales; Agaricaceae.
AAUUCUCAAUCCUCUUCAGCUUUGUCUGAAGGGCUUUGGACUUGGAGGUUUGCAGGCCUUGUACAUAGGUCAGCUCCUCUGAAAUGCAUUAGUGGAACCGUUUGCAGUUCGUUCACAGGUGUGAUAAUUAUCUACGCCAUAUGUGGACUGCUCUCUGUUUUUGUUCUGCUUCCAACUGUCCAGAAGGACAAACUUAUUACUGAAC